Molecule: long non-coding RNA, 1445 nt
Organism: Raphanus sativus (radish)
Lineage: Eukaryota; Viridiplantae; Streptophyta; Magnoliopsida; Brassicales; Brassicaceae
Exons: 3
Source: RefSeq, a predicted model, not a curated record
UCCAGAUCAUGAUCAAUCUUAGAUAAUUACAGUAUUAUCAUCGUGCUCUGUUUUCAAACUUCUUUGGAACUGAUGCGGUUGCAGUUAAACGACACAGCUGCAAAACCCUAAUCUCAGUAUCUGUGGUUGUUGGUAGCUUCUUUUGGAACUUUUGUAGAGUUUGUGUUGAGGAAUAAAGAGAUGAACAGAGGAAGAAGGAACCUGAAACAUCCAUCAGGUCGUCUCUCUCAGAGGCUCCAAUCAAGUUGAGAUAAAUGAUGCAAAAGGAGAGGUCAUUAGCAUUGUUUCCAGUCAAGUCUCCUGAAUGGCCAGAAAUCUUCAGAGAUGCAAAGCCAAUUCCAGCUGAUGAAAGCUCUCAUAUACCAAUCGGUGAGGGUGAGGCAGUUUUGAGUGAUGAUGGUUGAAUGACGAUGGUAUGCCUCCAUUGGAAGCAAACACAAACAGAGUGAGACCGUUUUGUGUGCAAUGUGAUGAUGUAGUCACAGAUUCUGGAUCAGAUUCUGAUUCAUAGAAACAUCCGGUACAUUCUUUUUCAUUCACAAGAGAGGGAGGGAAACCUAUAGUAUGUAACCAACAGUUUUGCUCGAGAAUGGAGUUAGAAGAGUAAAAGAUUACUCCUUAGCUGCUGCCAUGACUUCUCUUAAUUCAGAGAUCAAGCAACCACCGACUUUGUACCCUCCAAUCAAAAAUAACCGUUGUUCAGGACCAGACGCCAUUGCAAUUUUAACUGCCAAAAGCUUCAUGUCAUACAGAGGAAACAAACCACAAGAUCGAUGAAAAAGAGACUCACCACUUGCUAACUACUCUCUAAUCAACUCACACCAAGCUCUAAUCUGCCACAUUUAAGUCCUAAACAUAGAUAUAUAGUAGACUUAUAGCGGCUAAACAUCUUGGAAGCUUAUCGUAGUCCUAUUAUUCCUUCCCAUUCACCAACUAUCUAACCAACUCAUAACAGCUCUGAUCUGCUACAUUCAGUCCUAGGCUAGUCAUAGUAGACCUACAGAUCCGGGUUCGGGUCGGGUCGGUUGGAGGACCGUUUUUUACUUACCGGGUCUUCUUGAAUGAAGAAACAAGCCAACACGAAGGACCCACAGAGUGUAAAGUUCAAAAACUGCAUGCCCACUGCUACUCUGGUCGGCCAGAUGACAGAUUGGCAGGGGUAAAUUCGUCACUUUAAAGCUUCUUCUUGUGGCUGUUUAAACUCAGACAAUGGUGGUCCUGCUCCGAGAGAAGAAGGAGGACUUGCGUAAUCUUUUUAUAUCUGAAUUGAGAUCAAUGUUAUAUGAAUCGCACACCCACUUAUAUCUUUUUGGUUCACUGAGAUCAUGAAACUAAGUAUGCUGCUUUGCUUAUUUUCCUAAGUAUAUGUGACGAUCAAGGAUGUUAUAAAUAACAAUAACAUGUGAAUCUUUAUGUGAAUCUUUACACAACCAUGUUGUUGAUAU